CACGUAGGGGGCGAGCGUUAUCCGGAAUCAUUGGGCGUAAAGGGAGCGCAGGCGGCUUUGCAAGUCUGAUGUGAAAGGCCGGGGCUCAACCCCGGGACUGCAUUGGAAACUGUAAAGCUAGAGUGCCGGAGAGGUAAGCGGAAUUCCUAGUGUAGCGGUGAAAUGCGUAGAUAUUAGGAGGAACACCAGUGGCGAAGGCGGCUUACUGGACGGCAACUGACGCUGAGGCUCGAAAGCGUGGGGAGCAAACAGG
Molecule: ribosomal RNA, 253 nt
Filed under: uncultured bacterium
Lineage: Bacteria
Description: partial 16S ribosomal RNA
Rfam family: Bacterial small subunit ribosomal RNA
Source: RNAcentral